GUCUUCGUAGCUUACCGAUU
RNAcentral lists this transfer RNA (20 nucleotides) under Alca torda (razorbill). RNAcentral's name for it is "partial tRNA-Phe". Lineage: Eukaryota; Metazoa; Chordata; Aves; Charadriiformes; Alcidae. The record is from RNAcentral.